AAGUCCAGUAACGAGCGCAACCCUUAUCCUUAUUUGCCAGCACUUCGGGUGGGAACUUUAAGGAGACUGCCGUGAAUAACACGGAGGAAGGUGGGGACGACGUCAAGUCAUCAUGGCCCUUACGGGUUGGGCUACACACGUGCUACAAUGGGAGAUACAGACGGUUGCGAAAGCGCGAGCUGGAGCUAAUCCUACAAAGUCUUCCUCAGUCCGGAUUGGAGUCUGCAACUCGACUCCAUGAAGCAGGAAUCGCUAGUAAUCGCGAAUCAGAAUGUCGCGGUGAAUACGUUCUCGGGCCUU
Molecule: ribosomal RNA, 300 nt
Filed under: uncultured bacterium
Lineage: Bacteria
Description: bacterial SSU rRNA
Rfam family: Bacterial small subunit ribosomal RNA
Source: RNAcentral